GUGGCUGUAGCUCAGUGGUAGAGUGCCUGCCUUGCAUGUGUGAAACACUGGGUUCAAUCCUCAGCACCACA
RNAcentral lists this transfer RNA (71 nucleotides) under Marmota monax (woodchuck). It matches the Rfam family "tRNA". From Rfam's summary of the family: Transfer RNA (tRNA) molecules are approximately 80 nucleotides in length. The record is from Rfam by way of RNAcentral. Lineage: Eukaryota; Metazoa; Chordata; Mammalia; Rodentia; Sciuridae.